GGUUAGGCGGCGGCGGCGGCAGCAGGGUAGGAGAGCGGCAUCGGCGACGGUGAUGGUGGCGAGGUGUUCUGUGUGCGCAGCAUAGAAACACCCGCAGUUUCGGAGAGGGAGUUCCUGUGGGAUCACAUUAAGCACUCGGAACCCAAGCUGGGUUAGCCUGGGCCGAGUCCAGACGCUGCCGCACGUACAGUUCUGGUGGCGGUGACAGACGCUGCGCUUGACUACAAGGGCCUCUCAGGCUGAGUUCUGAGGCGCAGAUCGCUGGCUCUCGACGCAUUCUCUUCCCCUCCUUACCUUUCCUGUCUUCCUUCCUGGAUCUGUGCUUCCCGGACCCUGGGAAGAGGGUGGCUAAUGAUUAAGGCCUACCUUAAAGUUUCCCAUGUCUCAAUGGACUCCUGAAUAUAACAAGCUUUAUACCUUAAAAGUGGAUAUGAAGAGUGAGAUUCCUUCUGAUGCACCAAAGACACAGGAGAGUCUGAAAGGGGUCCUUCUACAUCCAGAGCCCAUUGGGGCAGCCAAAAGUUUUCCUGCAGAAGUUGAGAUGAUUAAUAGUAAAGUGGGGAAUGAAUUCUCUCACUUGUGUGAUGAUUCGCAAAAACAAGAAAAGGACAGGAAUGGUAACCAGCAAGAACAAGAAAAAAGUGUUGUUGUGAGAAAAAAACGCAAAAGCCAGCAGGCUGGCCCUUCAUAUAUGCAGAAUUGUGUGAAAGAGAAUCAGGGAAUAUUAGGAUUGAGGCAACACCUAGAAACACCAAGUGAUGAAGAUAAUGAUUCCUCCUUCAGUGAUUGUCUUUCUUCUCCUUCAUCUAGUCUGCAUUUUGGAGACUCUGAUACUGUGACUUCGGAUGAGGAUAAAGAAGUCUCUGUAAGACAUUCCCAGACCAUUUUGAGUGCUAAAAGUAGAAGUCAUAGUGCACGUUCCCAAAAGUGGCCUCGAACUGAGACAGAAUCUGUGUCGGGAUUGUUAAUGAAAAGACCUUGUUUUCAUAGCAGUUCAUUAAGGAGACUUCCAUGCAGAAAGAGAUUUGUAAAAAAUAAUUCCUCACAGAGGACACAGAAACAAAAAGAGAGGAUAUUAAUGCAGAGGAAAAAACGAGAAGUGUUAGCCCGAAGAAAAUACGCAUUACUACCCAGUUCUAGUAGUUCCAGUGAGAAUGACCUCAGCAGUGAAUCCUCUUCCAGCUCUUCAACUGAAGGAGAGGAGGAUUUGUUUGUUUCUGCUAGUGAAAACCACCAAAACAAUCCAGCUGCUCCCUCAGGAAGUAUUGAUGAAGAUGUUGUGGUGAUAGAAGCUUCCUUCACUCCCCAGGUCACUGCCAAUGAAGAAAUUAAUGUUACCUCAACUGACAGUGAAGUGGAGAUUGUAACAGUUGGAGAAAGCUAUAGGUCUCGUUCAACCCUUGGACACUCCAGAUCUCAUUGGAGCCAAGGUUCAAGUUCUCAUACAGGUCGACCACAGGAGCCACGGAACCGAAGUAGGAUUUCUACUGUUAUACAGCCCUUGAGGCAGAAUGCUGCAGAAGUUGUGGACCUUACUGUUGAUGAAGAUGAACCUACUGUAGUACCAACCACUUCUGCAAGAAUGGAGUCACAAACUACUAGUGCUUCCAUUAACAAUUCAAAUCCAUCUACCUCUGAGCAGGCCUCUGAUACUACAUCAGCUGUCACCAGUAGUCAGCCUUCCACAGUAUCAGAGACUUCAACUACUCUUACAAGCAAUAGUGCAACUGGUACUUCUAUAGUAGAUGACUCGAGGAGAACUACAUCUAGUGCUGUAACAGAAACUGGCCCUCCUGCAAUGCCAAGGUUACCUUCCUGCUGUCCUCAGCAUUCACCAUGUGGAGGGUCAUCACAGAAUCACCACGCAUUAGGACAUCCGCACACAAGUUGUUUUCAGCAGCAUGGUCAUCAUUUUCAGCAUCAUCACCACCACCACCACACUCCCCAUCCUGCUGUCCCAGUUUCUCCUUCUUUUAGUGAUCCUACUUGCCCUGUGGAAAGACCUCCACAAGUACAAGCACCCUGUGGAGCAAAUAGUAGUUCUGGUACCAGCUACCAUGACCAGCAGGCAUUGCCAGUAGACCUGAGCAACAGUGGUAUCAGAAGUCAUGGAAGUGGUGGUUUUCACGGAGCAUCUGCAUUUGACCCCUGCUGCCCUGUUUCUUCUUCCCGAGCUGCAAUCUUUGGCCAUCAGGCUGCUGCUGCUGCCCCAAGUCAGCCAUUAUCAAUAGAUGGUUAUGGAUCAAGCAUGGUUGCACAGCCCCAGCCCCAGCCCCCUCCACAACCCUCUCUCUCAUCAUGUCGACAUUAUAUGCCACCUCCUUAUGCUUCUUUGACAAGACCACUUCACCAUCAAGCUUCUGCUUGCCCUCAUUCUCAUGGAAACCCUCCUCCUCAGACGCAGCCUCCACCUCAAGUGGAUUAUGUUAUUCCUCAUCCUGUACAUGCUUUCCAUUCUCAAAUAUCUUCUCAUGCAACAUCUCAUCCUGUGGCACCCCCACCCCCAACUCAUUUAGCCAGUACAGCUGCGCCGAUCCCUCAGCAUCUUCCUCCUACACACCAACCAAUUUCACACCAUAUUCCAGCCACAGCACCUCCAGCACAGAGAUUGCAUCCUCAUGAAGUGAUGCAGAGGAUGGAAGUUCAAAGGAGGAGAAUGAUGCAGCAUCCAACGCGGGCACAUGAACGCCCCCCACCCCAUCCACACAGGAUGCACCCAAAUUAUGGUCAUGGGCAUCAUAUUCAUGUGCCUCAAACUAUGUCCUCACAUCCUCGUCAGGCUCCAGAGAGAUCUGCCUGGGAAUUGGGAAUUGAAGCUGGAGUGACUGCAGCUACUUAUACACCUGGUGCAUUGCAUCCUCAUUUGGCCCAUUACCAUGCACCUCCUCGACUUCAUCACUUACAAUUAGGAGCUCUUCCUUUAAUGGUUCCUGACAUGGCAGGCUAUCCUCAUAUCCGUUACAUUUCAUCAGGAUUGGAUGGAACUUCAUUCAGAGGUCCUUUCAGGGGAAAUUUUGAGGAACUGAUUCAUUUGGAAGAAAGAUUAGGAAAUGUCAAUCGUGGAGCAUCCCAGGGGACAAUUGAAAGGUGUACAUAUCCACAUAAAUACAAAAAGGUAACAACUGAUUGGUUCUCACAGAGGAAACUGCACUGCAAACAAGAUGGGGAAGAAGGGACUGAGGAAGACACAGAGGAAAAGUGUACUAUCUGUUUGUCUAUUUUAGAGGAAGGUGAAGAUGUGAGGCGUCUUCCAUGUAUGCACCUUUUCCACCAAGUAUGUGUUGACCARUGGUUGAUUACCAAUAAGAAGUGCCCAAUUUGCCGAGUGGACAUUGAGGCCCAGCUGCCAAGUGAAAGUUGACACCAUGUUUCAGAAACUCUUGCCCUCCUUCUCAUUCCCAUCCUUCCUGGUACUGCAGUCAACCAAAGAUGGCAUGACUUACCUGCGCAGAUUUGGAAGCAUUGAACUUAGAGUGCUGGCUCUGCUAUAUGGUACAACUAAUGCUAGACCUACAAUUUAUGUAUACAGUUGAUUUUGAUGUAUUUAUAAAAGCAUUUUUUUUUUCUAGAUUUGACAUUUUUCCUGUAUCAUUUUACUGUAUUUUUGCAUGGUUCCUUGUAUUGCAUUUCUUUGCACAUAUUAUGGGCUUGUGACCCUAAACUUGCAGGCAAGAUUAGCUGCUUUAGUAAGUAGAAUUUUGUGGUCUUUUUGUUUUUUACGUAGUACCAAGCCUUGAAAAUUAUGACUUUUUUUUAUCCAUUACUAACCUUUAAUUUAAUCAAUCAUGUGCUUUAGUUUAAUGUAUAAAGAUCCUCUAGAAAAUGAUAAUAUUGUGUAUUAAGACAUUCCUUAAUUAGGACAAAAUGGCUGCUGUAUAUUUACAACAUGGAGUUCUGAAUUAAAUACCAUCCUUAAUACUGGGGAACAGAAUACAACCCAUAUUCAAAUCAGAUACCGGUGGUAUUCGCAUCACCAGAGUGAUCAAUAUAAAUUUUCUUGGUGUAUCUUUUCCUUCCAGCACAGUGCAGAUAGAGUUGAAUAUUGAUAUCAUACAUUUAGACUGCUGUUCUGAUUAUAUUUAUCUUUUUCUACAUUGUUUAGAACUUUAUUUCCCUGAUUGAUUUUUUUGCUGCUGUGAAACAGCUUUGAUGAACACUAAAUAUUAAUUUCAAUUAGCUGGAUUGUACAUAAUUGCAGAUUUAACAAAAUUUUAGGGAAAUUGAAAAAGACAUGUAGAAUUUUGUUCAGUCUUCUACUAAGCACGAAUAGUUAAGAUAUCUGCUUACAUUAAUUUUGUAAACACAUUUCAGUCAAGAUUUAGAAUUUCAAGUCAAUGGCAGGUAUCUAUGCAUUCAUAGAACUUCUAAAGGUCCCAGGAUCACUUUUAAGGGAUUUUUAUUAGUUUAAAGGUAAAUAAAGUGAGCUGAAUCUACAUGUCUCUUGUUUUAUUUCUCUCUAAACUUGAAAACAAUAAAUCUGCAAAUACUGUGAGGCACAAAUUAUACUGUCAACCUACUGUUGCUAUGGUUAUAGACUCCCACUUCAUACAUUACCAAGAGUCGAUCACUGAUUUAAAAUUUUUAAUUUCUAUAGUUAAGAUUUACUGCAUAAUAUAGAGUAUAAAGUUAAGUUAACAUACUAACAUUUCUCCUUUGGAGGAAUUUUAAUCCACUUCAAGAUGCAUAUUAUUGAGAUACUUUUCAUAUACAGGAUAGCCUAAUUUUAUUUGUUUAAAUAUGCUUAAUAUGCCCCAGAUUGCAAAUGCAUCCAGUCAGUAAUAUCACUGUCUGUAUGUGGAAGACAUGUUCCCAUGGAUCAUAUGUGAAGAUGUCAAUAAGCUUGCAUUAAGCCACCUGCUUUACUAGGCUAAAACAGGUCCACAACGGAGCACGCACAUCCCCCUUCCCAGUUGUUACGACAACCAAAC
Molecule: RNA transcript, 4928 nt
Organism: Urocitellus parryii (Arctic ground squirrel)
Lineage: Eukaryota; Metazoa; Chordata; Mammalia; Rodentia; Sciuridae
Gene: Rnf111
Gene name: ring finger protein 111
Source: RefSeq, a predicted model, not a curated record